RNAcentral lists this long non-coding RNA (207 nucleotides) under Lathyrus oleraceus (garden pea). Its description in RNAcentral is "Pisum sativum (pea) long non-coding RNA (PSAT_LNC006691)". The record is from RNAcentral. Lineage: Eukaryota; Viridiplantae; Streptophyta; Magnoliopsida; Fabales; Fabaceae.
UUUAAUUAACAUUAACUAUAUACCUUCAUUCAACGACUAACUGAACUAACUGAUACCAUUCAACAAACUCAACUAACGGAUAAAAACUCCAACUGAAUCCAAACUUCACUCUCGAAUUCCACAUUUCAAUUAGACUCCUCUAACUGAUUUUCACCAAUCCCCAAGUUCCUAAAACUAUAAAGAUUCAUCAUCAAUCAUUUCAUCAUU